RNAcentral lists this non-coding RNA (249 nucleotides) under Hungatella hathewayi. Its description in RNAcentral is "Clostridium hathewayi T-box sequence". It matches the Rfam family "T-box leader". From Rfam's summary of the family: Uncharged tRNA acts as the effector for transcription antitermination of genes in the T-box leader family. T-boxes are found upstream of many aminoacyl-tRNA synthetase genes and some amino acid biosynthetic genes usually in Gram-positive bacteria. The anticodon of a specific tRNA base pairs to a specifier sequence within the T-box motif, and the NCCA acceptor tail of the tRNA base pairs to a conserved bulge in the T-box antiterminator hairpin. The record is from RNAcentral. Lineage: Bacteria; Bacillati; Bacillota; Clostridia; Lachnospirales; Lachnospiraceae.
AUAAAUACUGUGAAGAGGAACAGUAAGCUGUCUGAAACAUGCAGAGAGCCGGCGGUUGGUGCGAGCCGGUUGGGAAGGAUGGCUGAACUCGCCUUGGAGUUGCUCACUGAAGGAAGCGCUGCUUUUGUGUAGGUGCGGCCGGCAUCCCAGCCGUUACGAUGGGAAGGAUAUGAAUACGUAUCCCAUGAGCGCAUACAGAUUCUGUAUGAAAUAGAGUGGUACCGCGUGGAAGAAAUCCGCGUCUCUAUC